Molecule: ribosomal RNA, 506 nt
Filed under: uncultured soil bacterium
Lineage: Bacteria
Description: bacterial SSU rRNA
Rfam family: Bacterial small subunit ribosomal RNA
Source: RNAcentral
AGAGUUUGAUCCUGGCUCAGAAUCAACGCUGGCGGCGUGCCUCAGACAUGCAAGUCGAACGCGAACGUUCCCUUCGGGGAGCAAGUAGAGUGGCGCACGGGUGAGUAACACGUAGGUAAUCUACCUUCGGAUUGGGAAUAACCACCGGAAACGGUGGCUAAUACCGAAUAAUGCAGCGGCACCUAAUGGUGACAGUUGUUAAAGCGGGGGAUCGCAAGACCUCGCGUCUGAAGAGGAGCCUGCGGCGAAUUAGCUAGUUGGUAAGGUAACGGCUUACCAAGGCUAUGAUCCGUAGCCGGCCUGAGAGGGCGGUCGGCCACACUGACACUGACAUACGGGUCAGACUCCUACGGGAGGCAGCAGUCGGGAAUUUUGGGCAAUGGGCGAAAGCCUGACCCAGCAACGCCGCGUGAAGGAUGAAAUCCUUCGGGAUGUAAACUUCGCAAGAACGGGAAGAAUAAGUAAGAGCUAACAUCUCUUAUGAUGACGGUACUGUGAAGUCCCGA